RNAcentral lists this long non-coding RNA (1063 nucleotides) under Homo sapiens (human). The record is from RNAcentral. Lineage: Eukaryota; Metazoa; Chordata; Mammalia; Primates; Hominidae.
CCCAGCUACUCCAGAGGCUGAGGCAGGGGAAUUGCUUGAACCCAGGCAGUGAAGGUUGCAGUGAGCUGAGAUCGCGCCACUGCACUCCAGCUUAGCUACAGAGCGAGACUCUGUCUCAAAAAAAAAAAAAAAAGUAAAUGUCCAAUCCAAUAACAUUGUAAUUAUUAAGAAUAACAUGGAAUGAUGCUACAGUGGAGAAUACCAUGUGGCUAUUAAAAGUAACAGUUAACAAAAGUAACAUUAGUUAAGGUUAGAAUACUAUGUAGCUAUUAGUUUUGAUUUUUUUUUUUUUUUUUUUUUUUUUUUUGAGACAGAGUCUCACUCUUGCCCAGGCUGGAGUGCAGUGGCAUGAGCUUGGCUCACUGCAACCUCCAACUCCUGGGUUCAAGCAAUUCUCCUGUCUCAGCCUCCUGAGUAGCUGGGAUUACAGACAUGCGCCACCACGCCUGGCUAAUUUUUUGUAUUUUUUAGUAGAGACGGAGUUUCACCAUGUUGGUCAAGCUGGUCUCAAACGCCUAACCUCAGGUGAUCCACACGCCUCAGCCUCCCAAAGUGCUGGGAUUACAGGCAUGGGCCACCACUCCCGGCUGUAGCUAUUAGUUUUGAAUCUUACAUGUUGGAAACUAGACUGCUCUGCUUAUAGUAUAUAACUUAAUUCUCUCAAACCACCUCUCCCGAUGAGAAGGCAAUUUUAACCUAUUUGACAAAUCCUUGGACCAAGUUGAAACAUGACAUGUGUAUAUGAAAUACUGUACAUUUUCCAGAAUCAGAAAUACAUGCUUUGCACACAGGUAAGAAUUUUAUUAACAGCAGUAGGAAGGGAACUUGCAGGGAUGUGAAUUAGUAAAUUUAUAUUCUUUAGUUUCCUUUUAAAAAUAUUUUUAGGCCAGGUGUGGUGGCUCACGCCUGUAAUCCCAGCACUUUGGGAGGCCAAGGUGGGCGGAUCACGAGGUCAGGAGAUUGAGACCAUCCUGGCGAACAUGGUGAAACCCCUUCUCUACUAAAAAUACAAAAAAUUAACCAGGCAUGGUGGCGGGCACCUGUAGUCCCAGCUACUCGGGAG